This 2041-nucleotide small RNA is filed under the name Pongo abelii (Sumatran orangutan). RNAcentral's name for it is "retained intron". Lineage: Eukaryota; Metazoa; Chordata; Mammalia; Primates; Hominidae. The record is from RNAcentral.
AGUCAGUCCCUUCGCGCUCCUGAGCCGCCGGCGCGCCGGGCGCCCCGGGAAUUUAUAAGUAUUUGACCAUACUCAAAAUGUGCAAGGAAGAAUAAUGGAAGCCCCUGAAUACCUUGAUUUGGAUGAAAUUGACUUUAGUGAUGACAUAUCUUAUUCAGUCACAUCACUCAAGACGAUCCCAGAACUGUGCCGAAGAUGUGAUACACAAAACGAAGACAGAUCAGUUUCUAGCUCUAGCUGGAAUUGUGGCAUCUCAACUCUUAUUACAAACACGCAAAAGCCCACAGGAAUCGCUGAUGUGUACAGUAAGUUCCGCCCAGUGAAGCGGGUUUCGCCACUGAAACAUCAGCCAGAGACUCUGGAGAACAAUGAAAGUGAUGACCAAAAGAACCAGAAAGUGGUUGAGUACCAGAAAGGGGGUGAGUCUGACUUGGGCCCCCAGCCUCAGGAGCUCAGCCCUGGAGAUGGAGUGGGUGGCCCACCAGGUAAGAGCUCUGAGCCCAGCACAUCGCUGGGUGAACUGGAGCACUACGACCUCGACAUGGAUGAGAUUCUGGAUGUGCCUUAUAUUAAAUCCAGUCAGCAGCUUGCCUCUUUUACCAAGGUGACUUCAGAAAAAAGAAUUUUGGGCUUAUGCACAACCAUCAAUGGCCUUUCUGGCAAAGCCUGCUCUACAGGAAGUUCUGAGAGCUCAUCAUCCAACAUGGCACCAUUUUGUGUUCUUUCUCCCGUGAAAAGCCCUCACUUGAGAAAAGCAUCAGCUGUCAUCCACGACCAGCACAAGCUGUCCACUGAAGAAACCGAGAUCUCACCUCCUCUGGUUAAAUGUGGCUCUGCAUAUGAGCCUGAAAACCAGAGUAAAGACUUCCUAAACAAGACAUUUAGUGAUCCUCAUGGUCGAAAAGUUGAGAAGACAACACCAGACUGCCAGCUCAGGGCCUUCCACCUACAAUCCUCAGCAGCAGAAUCCAAAGCAGAAGAGCAGGUCAGUGGCCUAAACUGGACCAGCUCCCAAGGCCCAGAAGAAAGGAGUGAAUAUCUGAAAAAAGUGAAAAGCAUCUUAAACAUUGUUAAAGAAGGACAGAUCUCUCUCCUGCCACACCUAGCUGCAGACAAUCUAGACAAAAUUCACGACGAAAAUGGAAACAAUCUAUUACAUAUUGCGGCAUCACAGGGACACGCAGAGUGUCUACAGCACCUCACUUCUUUGAUGGGAGAAGACUGCCUCAAUGAGCGCAACACUGAGAAGUUGACUCCAGCAGGCCUGGCCAUUAAGAAUGGUCAGUUGGAGUGCGUACGCUGGAUGGUGAGUGAAACAGAAGCCAUUGCAGAACUGAGUUGUUCUAAGGAUUUUCCAAGCCUUAUUCAUUACGCAGGUUGCUAUGGCCAGGAAAAGAUUCUUCUAUGGCUUCUUCAGUUUAUGCAAGAACAGGGCAUCUCGUUGGAUGAAGUAGACCAGGAUGGCAACAGUGCUGUUCACGUAGCCUCACAGCAUGGCUACCUUGGAUGCAUACAGGUACACAGUCCCUGCUGUUUUGCAAUGAGAAAUGAGUAUAUCAAAUAUUAAACAAAACAUUAAAAUUAUGUUCACUAGGAGAAUAUCUGAAUUAAUUCACCUUUUGUAUGGUUGUAGACAAUAAGGAAUUAUUGCUCUAUUUGUAUUUCCAGAAAUCCACACAAAUGUAGGUAGGCAUAAAUAUCCAUAAGAGUUUCUCUUUCAGUGUCCCAGGGUGUUGAAAGGGACUUUUCCUGCUCCCUUAUCACUGCUCUAAAGCCCCAGUGCUGAGGACAAUAGACGUUAAAUUUCCCCAUGUUCUCAAGGCACCAGAGAAACCACUACCAGGCAGACAUCUGUCUCUCAAGUGGCAGGCUGCUCUUCCCCUCACUAGUAAAUUUCACCCUCCCAGGUAUAUGAAGAAUAAGACAGAUUUUUCAGGAAUGGAUUAGAAUUCUUUGUGGUAGGGAGUUGUAGGCUAGAGAGAGAAUGCUGUGGUUCCCCCUUUCUCUGUAGUAGGACUGAGCUUCUCAAAUGCAUUCAAAA